This 86-nucleotide small nucleolar RNA is filed under the name Echinops telfairi (small Madagascar hedgehog). RNAcentral's name for it is "Small nucleolar RNA SNORA4 (ENSETEG00000023476.1)". Lineage: Eukaryota; Metazoa; Chordata; Mammalia; Afrosoricida; Tenrecidae. The record is from RNAcentral.
CUACCAAAAGUUGAUUUUUGGAGGCAAGGGUUUUUUCAUAACCUUUACCAAUAUGGGCUGUUUGGGAGAAUAAAGUGGACUAUAUA